This 415-nucleotide ribosomal RNA is filed under the name Cronobacter sakazakii. RNAcentral describes it as "bacterial SSU rRNA". It matches the Rfam family "Bacterial small subunit ribosomal RNA", at positions 43 to 456 of the family's 1533-position model. Lineage: Bacteria; Pseudomonadati; Pseudomonadota; Gammaproteobacteria; Enterobacterales; Enterobacteriaceae. The record is from RNAcentral.
CAGGCCUAACACAUGCAAGUCGAGCGGUAGCACAGAGAGCUUGCUCUCGGGUGACGAGCGGCGGACGGGUGAGUAAUGUCUGGGAAACUGCCUGAUGGAGGGGGAUAACUACUGGAAACGGUAGCUAAUACCGCAUAACGUCUUCGGACCAAAGUGGGGGACCUUCGGGCCUCAUGCCAUCAGAUGUGCCCAGAUGGGAUUAGCUAGUAGGUGGGGUAAAGGCUCACCUAGGCGACGAUCCCUAGCUGGUCUGAGAGGAUGACCAGCCACACUGGAACUGAGACACGGUCCAGACUCCUACGGGAGGCAGCAGUGGGGAAUAUUGCACAAUGGGCGCAAGCCUGAUGCAGCCAUGCCGCGUGUAUGAAGAAGGCCUUCGGGUUGUAAAGUACUUUCAGCGAGGAGGAAGGUGUUG